This 355-nucleotide ribosomal RNA is filed under the name uncultured bacterium. RNAcentral describes it as "bacterial SSU rRNA". It matches the Rfam family "Bacterial small subunit ribosomal RNA", at positions 527 to 881 of the family's 1533-position model. The record is from RNAcentral.
GUAUGGUGCAAGCGUUAUCCGGAUUUACUGGGUGUAAAGGGAGCGUAGACGGAUGGGCAAGUCUGAUGUGAAAACCCGGGGCUCAACCCCGGGACUGCAUUGGAAACUGUUCAUCUAGAGUGCUGGAGAGGUAAGUGGAAUUCCUAGUGUAGCGGUGAAAUGCGUAGAUAUUAGGAGGAACACCAGUGGCGAAGGCGGCUUACUGGACGGUAACUGACGUUGAGGCUCGAAAGCGUGGGGAGCAAACAGGAUUAGAUACCCUGGUAGUCCACGCCGUAAACGAUGACUACUAGGUGUCGGGUGGCAAAGCCAUUCGGUGCCGCAGCAAACGCAAUAAGUAGUCCACCUGGGAAGU